Molecule: RNA transcript, 1392 nt
Organism: Oncorhynchus mykiss (rainbow trout)
Lineage: Eukaryota; Metazoa; Chordata; Actinopteri; Salmoniformes; Salmonidae
Gene: dolpp1
Gene name: dolichyldiphosphatase 1
Source: RefSeq, a predicted model, not a curated record
UCACCGGUGUCCGGGAAAAAUGGCGUCUGAAGAACAGUGCUCGGUACCACUUCGAUGGCGGUCGAUAUCGCUAACCCACAUAGAGUUCCCUGCUGGUGAUCUGACUGGACAAAUGUUGGCCUACACCAGCCUGCUGCCCAUAGCGAUCCUCGUAGGCUUUGUCACCCUCAUAGUGUUCAAGCGUGAACUGCACACGAUCUCCUCCUUCGGUGGGCUCGUCCUGAACGAAGGUGUGAAUUGGCUGCUGAAGCAUAUUCUACGGGAGCCCCGCCCAUGUGAAGGAGCUCACACAACCCUGACAACAGAGUAUGGGAUGCCCUCCAGUCAUUCCCAGUUCAUCUGGUUUUUUGUUGUUUACUUCUUUCUUUUCCUUUAUUUAAGAAUGCAUCAAACGAACAACGCUCGGUGUGUGGAGCUGCUGUGGAGACACAUACUGUCCAUCACCUUGUUGGGCGUGGCCUUAUCAGUGUCAUACAGCAGGGUGUACCUGUUGUACCACACUUGGAGUCAGGUCUUCUAUGGGGGAGUGGCCGGUAGCACCAUAGGAGUAGUCUGGUUCUUCUUCACACAGGAGGUGCUGACACCGCUAUUCCCCAAGAUAGCAGCAUGUGUGUCUCCAUUUUUUAUUUUGUCCCACCUCUCUCGCCAUCCUUGACUGCUGACAGGCCGAUAUCAGAGUUCUUUCUGGUGCGGGACACAAGCCUGAUCCCCAACAUCCUUUGGUUUGAGUACACAGUGACCAGGUCAGAGGCGAGAAACAGACAACGGAAGCUUGGAACAAAGCUUCAGUGAUCUCAGCAGUUCCUUGGAGAAAUUGAGUAAAGGAACAUACACACACACUCUCACUCACUCACUCAUUAAAAAACACACUGGAGAAUCAAUUAUCUUCUGGACUGACCUGGUUGAAAUGGUAUAAAGGCCAUCGAUUUACAGGUGGACCAAAAGAGUGUCUGGACUCGGCCCGGAUUCCACAGCCUUAGCAAGUCCGUCCAUAUGCCUCUCCUUGUAUAGCUUGCCGAAAUGCUCCCCCAAUGCAUGCAAGACUGUGCAAGAGGUAUACUAUUUAAUGAUAAAUUAAUAUAAACUCAGCAAAAAAAGAAACAUCCUCUCACUGUCAACUGCGUUUAUUUUCAGAAAACUUAACUUGUGUAAAUAUUUGUCUGAACAUAACGAGAUUCAACAACUGAGACAUAAACUGAACAAGUUCCAAUGUCAUGUGACUAACAAAUGGAAUGUGUCAAAGGGGGUGUCAAAAUCAAAAGUAACAGUCAGUAUCUGGUGUGGCCACCUGCUGCAUUAAGUACUGAAGUGCAUCUCCUCCUCAUGGACUGCACCAGAUUUGCCAGUUCUUGCUGUGAGAUGUUACCCCACUCUUCCACCAAGGCACCUGCA